CCGUGAGGCGGCGGCAACAUGGCGGCGGCGGGGCGGGAGGAGCCGCCGCUGGGGCUCGAGGCGGUCGCGGAGGAGGCGGCGGCGGCGGCGGCGAGUGCCGGGUUCCGGCUCACGGCGGUGCGGCGGGAGCCGGCGGUGCGGCUGCAGCACGGCGCCAGCGGGCUGGAGCCGCUGGCCUGGUCCGAGGACCACCGGGUGUCGGUGAGCACGGCCCGCAGCAUCGCCGUGCUGGAGCAGCUCAGCGACGUGCACAGCGGCGGGCAGGACAUGGUCAUCCACCGCACCGCCGUGCCCGCGCCCGGCGCCGCCUGCAUGCUCAAGGUUGGCCCAAAGAAGGAGGUGGCUGAAUGUAAGGAGAAGUUCGCCAGCUCAGUGGAUCCAACCGUCAGUCAGACGUUUAUGCUGGACCGGGUGUUCAAUCCCGAGGGGAAGUCCCUGACACCCAUGCGGGGCUUCAAAUAUUCCAGCUGGUCCCCUCUGGGCUGCGACGCCAACGGGAGGUGCCUGCUGGCAGCCCUGACCAUGGACAACCGCCUGACCAUCCAUGCCAACCUCAACAGGCUGCAGUGGGUGCAGCUGGUGGACCUGACCGAGCUCUACGGCGAGCGCCUGUUCGAGGCCAGUUACAAACUGUGUAAGGCUGACACUCCCUGUGGGGAGCUGGGAGACUUCCCGGAGUUCCAGCGGCGGCACAGCAUGCAGACCCCGGUGCGUAUGGAGUGGUCGGGCAUCUGCACCACCCAGCAGGUCAAGCACAACAACGAGUGCCGGGACGUGGGCAGCGUGCUCCUGGCAGUGCUCUUCGAAAACGGGAAUAUCGCUGUUUGGCAGUUCCAGCUGCCCUUUCUGGGGCAAGAGUCCAUCACUUCCUGCAAUACCAUCGAGUCAGGAAUAAGCUCCCCCAGCGUGUUGUCCUGGUGGGAAUACGAGCACAACAACCGGAAGAUGAGCGGACUGAUCGUGGGGAGCGCGUACGGCCCGGUGAAGAUCAUCCCCGUCAACCUCAAGGCGGUCAAAGGCUACUUCACGCUGAGACAGCCUGUGGUCUUGUGGCAGGAGAUGGACCAGCUGCCCGUGCACAGCAUCAAAUGUAUCCCUCUCUACCACCCCUACCAGAAAUGCAGCUGUAGCCUGGUGGUGGCUGCGAGAGGCCCUUACGUGUUCUGGUGCCUCCUGUUGAUAUCCAAAGCGGGGCUGAACGUCCACAAUUCCCACGUGACGGGGCUCCACUCCUUGCCCAUUGUCUCCAUGACUGCGGACAAGCAGAACGGCACGGUGUACACCUGCUCCAGCGACGGCAAGGUCAGGCAGCUCAUCCCCAUAUUCACAGACGUUGCUUUAAAGUUUGAGCACCAGCUGAUAAAGCUCUCGGAGGUGUUUGGCUCCGUCAGGACUCACGGAAUCGCUGUCAGCCCGUGUGGGGCAUACCUGGCAGUCAUCACCACCGAGGGCAUGGCCAACGGGCUGCACCCGGUCAACAAAAACUACCAAGUUCAGUUUGUCACCCUCAAGACUUUUGAGGAGGCAGCUGCACAGCUCUUGGAAUCUUCUGUUCAGAACCUUUUCCGGCAGGUGGACUUGACGGAUCUUGUACGCUGGAAAAUCUUGAAGGAUAAGCAUAUUCCUCAGUUCUUACAGGAAGCACUGGAUAAAAAGAUAGAGAGCUGUGGUUCCACUUACUUCUGGAGGUUUAAGCUGUUUCUCUUGAGGAUUUUGUACCAGUCGAUGCAGAAAGCCCCCUCCGAGGUCACGUGGAGACCUUCACACGAGGAUGCCAAAAUCUUGAUAUCGGAUUCCCCUGGGAUGGGCAGCACUGAAGAUGAUCAAGAGGAAGGAACUUCGAAACAAGCCAGCAAGCAGAGCCUGGGGGACACUGGCAAAGGUGUGGACAUUGAUGACAAUGCAGAGGAUUCUCUCCAUCAGUCAAGUGACACUGGAGGCCGUGAGCCAAUGGUAGAAAAGCUGCUUGAAAUACAGGCACAGAUUGAGGCUGUAGAAAUGCACUUGACACGAGAACACAUGAAGCGGGUGUUGGGAGAAGUUUAUCUGCACACGUGGAUUACAGAAAACACCAGCAUUCCCACCAGAGGAGUCUGUGACUUCUUAAUGUCCGACGAUGGCUAUGAUGACAGAACAGCACGAGUGCUGAUUGGGCACAUCCUGAAGAAGAUGAACAAACAGACCUUCCCGGAGCACUGCAGUUUGUGCAAGGAGAUCCUGCCCUUCACCGACCGCAAGCAGGCCGUCUGCUCCAAUGGCCACAUUUGGCUCAGGUGCUUUCUAACCUACCAGUCCUGCCAGAGUUUGGUGUACAGGAGGUGUUUGCUUCACGACAGCAUUGCACGGCACCCAACCCCAGAAGAUCCUGAAUGGAUCAAGAGGUUAUUGCAAGGACCUUGCACGUUCUGUGAUUCUCCUGUGUUCUAGAGAAAAGCUGUGUCAAGACUGAAAGUAUUUUCUCUACUGCAUAAGCUCCCUUCAGCCUGGGAGGAUACAGAGACAGGAACAGAGACUCUGCUGGAGGGGGAACACAUUGUCCACAGUCCUGUAAAUAGAACAUCACAAGUUCUACAAACUCCUAAAGUCCAGAGCCCAUUCCACGCUCCAGAAACAGGAGUACACCUGGAAGAGCCAGUUUAAAGCUGUUUGGAAAUGCACCCAUGGAAGCCUCAGCAGCUGGACACUGACAAGGAACUGAAGGGUUGAGCACAGUGGGAAUUGUCCUUUCUGCCUGACACCAGUGUCAAUUCCCAAAAGCUGGGAUGGGAACAGUGGAGCUGCCUCUUGAAUGGUCUUGAGUACCAAUCGCAGAGGUGUCGCCCUGUCUGUGAUUCCUGACACUUUCACUGUGUGGGAAGUGCUCUACAGCUGUUGAGAAAUCAUGGAAUUGUGCUGACAGUAUCAGUCUCCCACCAGUGCAUGUGUGAUUGGUGCUUGUUUCCUCGAUUCAAUGACUAUGCAUAUUUUGUUAAUGUUCCUUCACCUUUAAUAGGAGCAAAUUUUUUUCAGUGAACAUUAAAGAAGUCAGCUGUCCUUCUGCUCAGUGUCUCAUGCAUUAAGCAUGAUCAUGCAUUGACUAAGAAGAACAUUGCUAUAGUAGCCUAGAAACAGCAGAAGCACAUUCAUCUGUAAAAUAAUUAGCCUUGUUUGUAAAUAUCCUUGGAAGUGAUACCAUAAUUGUAUUAAAGAAAUGUUUAGUUUUUUAUUGCUGUGCAUUGAAAAUUGAAAUUACUUCAGUGUGCCUGCAGAGAAGGGAAAUGUAGCUCGUGUUGGUAUCCAGUAAAACAAGGAGUAACUUCGA
Molecule: RNA transcript, 3301 nt
Organism: Corvus hawaiiensis (hawaiian crow)
Lineage: Eukaryota; Metazoa; Chordata; Aves; Passeriformes; Corvidae
Gene: GTF3C4
Gene name: general transcription factor IIIC subunit 4
Exons: 6
Source: RefSeq, a predicted model, not a curated record